GGCUCAAGUGGGAUGAAGUUGGGUAUUUACCUACCCCCAGAUGUGUUAGACUCUGAUAAAACUCCAAUAGUUUAUGCCCUGCCAAAAUAAUUUCUCUUGAGGGUAGGCCUUGUUAAGAAUAGGAUGCUCUGGCUUUUUCACAAUGGUUCCCAUUCCUCUCCCCCUGCUGGAAGCAUAAAGGUAUUUCCCCCAAAGUCACUAUGAGAACCUGGUAGGUCUCCUACUAGAGUUAAAAACCCUCGAAGUAUCAGGACCGUUUCUGUGCCUGGAUCUCCCUGGAGGUUUUAACUAUCAGAAUUGUCCACACUGAGCUUCCAGAAAUUCAACACUGACAAUUUUGGUGUUCCUACCCUGGCCUGAGGUUUCGGCUUGUGGGUUUCUGCUCUCCUAAGUUGUGAUUCUUUGUAUUGGUCUGUAUGUCUCUCUAAUUUGGGGAACAGUGGUUUGCCCCAUGACCUCACUUCUCUGACAGGUGGACAAAGAGUUUUUGAUUUUUCCUUUUGUUCAGCUUUUUACUUGUUGUCAGGAUGGAGUGGCAACUUCCAAGCUCCUUAUAUGUUGGACUGGAAACUGGAAGUUCUGUGAUAUCAUUUUAAUGACAGAAAGAAAUGGAAGGAGUAACAAAGAACUGUUGAAUAAAAAAUACAAUAGUUUAAAAUUCAAAUAUUAUCCUUCUGUAAACUUCAAUUCAAACAUUAUCAAUAUUCAAUUUAAAUAUUAUUCCUCUGUAUGGAGUUUCCAUUAUGGCUCAGCAUUGCUGUGGCUGUGGCAUUGGCCAGCAGCUGCAGCUCUGAAUCAACCCCUAACCUGGGAACUUCCAUGUGCCACAGGUGCGGCCCUAAAAAGAAGAAAAAAAAUUAUUUCCAAUUCCUCUGAUUUAGUAAGAAAAAACAGUUUGUCAAUGCUUCCCUCUAAUUGACCAUAGAGAUUCUCAGCUUGAGAUACAGUCAUGUUUUCUGCUGGCAGAAUAAUAAGGAUUUUGAAUAUAGCUCAGUGGUUAUUAUUCAAUCUGCCUUGAGUCUAAGACCCUGGACACAUUUCUGGGCCCCAGGAAGAGAAAACUAAAUGGCUUUAAGUAAAAACUCAAAGAGCUGUUUCACUAAAAUCUUUAACCCUCUGGAUCCCAAACAUCUUUGGCACUGCAUUCAGAGUAAGUUAGAAAAAUCAGAGGGAGCCAUCUCACCCUCCCUGCUAUGGGCCGCCGUGUAACUUGGGCCCCUUGAGAGCUACGUGUGGUUGUCUCUGGAAAACUCUGCACCUGGCAGAGCUGUAGGAGGGACUGUGAAAUGCAGAGGAACAGCAUGUGAUGGUAUUAAGUUCCCACCAGUGCUCGAUAGGGCAGCAGUAGUCAUCAGCAAAGAAUUGCUUUGUUAGAUAGAACAGUAGGAGAGCAUGGUUUUUUGUAGUUGUUGUUGGAAUUUAAUAGAAUAAAUAUGAUAGACAUUUAAUAUGAGAGAUAUCCUAGGAACACUUGGGGUACUUUGCAAGCAAACAGAAGACUCUACAUCAUCACUAGGCAGUAACUAGGAAGUAAAAUUUAGGCCUUGAUAAAUAUGUGACAUAAUUGUAUUGCCCAAGUGAAAUUUGCCUACAUUGUAUUAAUAUCUACUAAAUAUCUUGAUAUAUAAAUCCUUUCUACCCUUGUUACUAUUAGUAAGAAGCAGCAGAUUUUUUUUUUCUUAGCCUAAAGUCGUUAUCAGUGAAUGAAUGAGGUAAAUAAGUAAAAGAACCUCUGCUAAAAUGACAUAUGCUUAGCUGAUUAGGGGAUAAAGUAAAACUCCUGUUGGCUUACAAUUGUAUCAAAAAGGUAAAAGCAAGCUAGUAUUUAUUACCCAUGUCAUGCUACAUGCUACUUUCAAAAUGAGUUUUGUAUUAGUCUGUACUAAAGAAAGGACUCAUCCUAAUUUCUUUUAAAGAAAUUGAAUCCUCUCCCAAACGCAUUUGAAAAUAAAUGCCAUCCUAAUUUAGAGGCCACCAGCACUAACACUGUUACUUCCAAAUUAGAACACACAAAGGAAAUUUUAAUAGCAUCCAACAGAAAAAAGUUCCAAUUAUAGAACCUAUAAGAAAGAGUUCAUGUGUUUUGGAGGAACAAGGAAAUGAGAUGUUAGAUAAUUGACUAUAAAAUGCUACUUUGCCAUAUUGUCUCCUGAGGAAGAUACUGGAUAGAUGGUUUUCCUUAAAUAGAGAUCAAGUUAUUUUAAGUGGGAUCCCCACUGAUUAUUUUAUUUUAUUUUAUUUAUGUCUUCUGACCUUUUAGGGCUGCAGCCAUGGCACAUGGAAAUUCCCAGGUUAGGGGUCUAAUCGGAGCUGUUGCUGCCAGCCAACGCCAGAUCCGAGCUGCGUCUGUGACCUACACCACAACACCAGAUCUUUAACCCACUGAGCGAGGCCAGGGAUCGAACCCACAACCUCAUGCUUCCUAGUCGGAUUCUUUUCUGCUGCACCACCAUGGGAACUCCCCCACAGAUUAUUUUAAUGUCAUAUUGUUUUAGUUCUAACACUUAACAUUUCCUGAGGAUUCUGAAACACUUAGUUCAAGAAAGAAGACACUAAAAUUUAUAUUACUCAAAGGAAGAAAUGAACAUUGUUUCUUUUUAAAUGGUGAUAAAAAUAAAAUUCCCUGAGCUUUCUGGCUUGUUUGAAAAUCCAUCAUUCUGAUUACUUAAACUAAUUUGGAAGCAGGAACAUUAAAUAUGUGACAGCUUUGAAUUGCCCCUUAAGCUGAAGAAACUCUUAAAAUAUUUAGAGGCAUCUUCUGUCAUGAUUCCUUUUCCCUGAUUUACUCAAUUUUUCCAGACACGUCAGGAAUAGGUAUAGGGCACUUGUUCAUCUUAGCAACAAGUUAAAAUUUCUUCACUGAAAAAAAACUAGUAUAGAAUGUGACAACUAUCUUAUCUCUUAGUUGUUUUUGUCACAAACAUUAUUUUUUAUCAAAAUCCCAACAUUUUUGGUUAUUCUAUUUUUGAAGGAUAGGCUUACUUGAAAGAUUGUGUAUGUUAAUUCUAGUAAAAUGAGAUCUUUGUCAUAAUCAUAAUGUUGGAAGAGGUUUUGGUUCUAGUGAGUAGAUUCACAAUUUCGAACAUUGACCCAACUAGAUCUUUUGACUGGUAAUUAUGGAUGAAAUGUGUCAUGUAGGAUGACAAUGUUAACAACUCCACAUUUUCCACAGUGGCUUAGGCUAUCAAACCUCAUAAAUUUUCUGCACUUCCUUAUGUUUUUUUCAACAAAUCUUCCUGUGUUUUUCAUGAUUUCUUAGCAAGGGACCUCUGGAACACCUCUAUUCCUCUUUCUCAAACACAUUUACCUAAUAUUACAUACUGUAAAGCUCACUAUGCUUAGCAAUUGUUCAGUUAUGGUGUGUCUGAAAAAGACAAAGUCAAAAAUACAGAUCCAAACAUAGAAUAGUCAACUCAAAACUGAAAAAGAAGAGUAAAAUUCGAGGACUCACACUACCAAGUUUCAAAACUUACUAUAAAGCCUCAGUAAUCAAGUAGCAUAAUAUUGACAAAAUAAUAAAUACAUAAAUCAAUGAAACAGACUAUAGAACCCAGAGAUAAAGUGACACAGCUAUAGUCAACUGAUUUUUGACAAAGGUAUAAAGGUAGUUCAAUGAAGAAAAAAAGAGUCUUUUCAACAAAUAUUACUAGAACAAUUGGACAUCCAUAUGCAAAAAAAAAAAAAAAAAA
RNAcentral lists this long non-coding RNA (3689 nucleotides) under Sus scrofa (pig). RNAcentral's name for it is "lncRNA (ENSSSCG00005043684.1)". Lineage: Eukaryota; Metazoa; Chordata; Mammalia; Artiodactyla; Suidae. The record is from RNAcentral.